AACUAUGUUGCAACAACCUCACGUUGUGCAUAGAAUCUGCAUGCUUCUGAGUAAUGCAGACUAGCUUCAUAAAUCCUCAUGCUGCAUUGCUAAAUCUAUCCUAUGUGGAAGUAGGUGUUAAGAAGAAUGAGUUCUUUAGUUCCAUGUCAUAUGUGGUGAUUUUGAUGACCAUAUGCAAUCAUCUUAUGACACUGCUGCAGAAGGUUAUUCUUGCAUGCAAUUUCUUCUCGAGUUGCACUCGAGUGUAUGGCNN
This 253-nucleotide long non-coding RNA is filed under the name Phoenix dactylifera (date palm). RNAcentral's name for it is "long non-coding RNA (PDAC_LNC002387)". Lineage: Eukaryota; Viridiplantae; Streptophyta; Magnoliopsida; Arecales; Arecaceae. The record is from RNAcentral.